Molecule: ribosomal RNA, 229 nt
Filed under: uncultured bacterium
Lineage: Bacteria
Description: partial 16S ribosomal RNA
Rfam family: Bacterial small subunit ribosomal RNA
Source: RNAcentral
CGCGUAGGCGGUCUUGUCGGUCAGAUGUGAAAGCCCGGGGCUCAACCCUGGAAGUGCAUUUGAAACAGCAAGACUUGAGUACGGGAGAGGAAAGCGGAAUUCCUGGUGUAGAGGUGAAAUUCGUAGAUAUCAGGAGGAACACCGAUGGCGAAGGCAGCUUUCUGGACCGAUACUGACGCUGAGGCGCGAAGGCGUGGGUAGCGAACAGGAUUAGAUACCCUGGUAGUCC